UCGAGAAUCUUCGGCAAUGGGCGCAAGCCUGACCGAGCGACGCCGCGUGGAGGACGAAGGCCCUCGGGUUGUAAACUCCUGUCGAGGGGGAACAAGGCGGCGCGAAGAGCGUCGCUUGAGUGAUCCCUGGAGGAAGCACGGGCUAAGUUCGUACCAGCAGCCGCGGUAAGACGAACCGUGCGAACGUUAUUCGGAAUCACUGGGCUUAAAGCGCGUGUAGGCGGCCCGGCACGUCCGUCGCUGAAAUCCCCCGGCUCAACCGGGGAAGGGGCGGGGAUACGGCCGGGCUGGAGGGGGGUAGGGGGCGCCGGAACUCACGGUGGAGCGGUGAAAUGCGUUGAGAUCGUGAGGAACGCCCGUGGCGAAAGCGGGCGCCUGGACCCCACCUGACGCUGAGACGCGAAAGCCAGGGGAGCGAACGG
Molecule: ribosomal RNA, 422 nt
Filed under: uncultured bacterium
Lineage: Bacteria
Description: bacterial SSU rRNA
Rfam family: Bacterial small subunit ribosomal RNA
Source: RNAcentral